UCGAGAAUCUUUCGCAAUGGGGGAAACCCUGACGAAGCGACGCCGCGUGCAGGAUGAAGGUCUUCGGAUUGUAAACUGCUGUCGGCUGGGAAGAAAAAGCGGAUGACUAACAGCCAUUCGCCUUGACGGUACCAGCAAAGGAAGCCACGGCUAACUCUGUGCCAGCAGCCGCGGUAAUACAGAGGUGGCAAGCGUUGUUCGGAUUUAUUGGGCGUAAAGGGUCCGUAGGCGGCCUGAAAAGUCGGAUGUGAAAGCCCACAGCUUAACUGUGGAAUGGCAUUCGAAACUCUUAGGCUCGAGUGUGAAAGGGGUAAAGGGAAUUCCCGGUGUAAGGGUGAAAUCUGCAGAGAUCGGGAAGAACACCAGUCGCGAAGGCGCUUUACUGGUUCACAACUGACGCUGAGGGACGAAAGCUAGGGGAGCAAACGGG
Molecule: ribosomal RNA, 430 nt
Filed under: uncultured bacterium
Lineage: Bacteria
Description: bacterial SSU rRNA
Rfam family: Bacterial small subunit ribosomal RNA
Source: RNAcentral